AGGGUUCGAUUCUGGCUCAGGAUGAACGCUAGCGGCAGGCCUAAUACAUGCAAGUCGAACGGGAAGGGGCCCUUCGGGGUCUCUGAGAGUGGCGCACGGGUGCGUAACGCGUAUGCAACCAACCCCGCACUGGGGGACAGCCGGUGGAAACGCCGGGUAAUACCCCAUGCCGACGGGAGGGGACAUCCCCAUCCGUUGAAAGGCUUCGGUCGGUGCGGGACGGGCAUGCGUCCCAUUAGCUAGUCGGCGGGGUAACGGCCCACCGAGGCGAUGAUGGGUAGGGGAUCUGAGAGGACGGUCCCCCACACUGGUACUGAGACACGGACCAGACUCCUACGGGAGGCAGCAGUAAGGAAUAUUGGGCAAUGGGGGGAACCCUGACCCAGCCAUGCCGCGUGAGGGAAGUAGGCCCUACGGGUCGUGAACCUCUUUUGUCGGGGGACAAGGACGCCCACGAGAUGGGUGUUUGCGGGUACCCGGCGAAUAAGCAUCGGCUAACUCCGUGCCAGCCGCCGC
This 516-nucleotide ribosomal RNA is filed under the name uncultured bacterium. Its description in RNAcentral is "bacterial SSU rRNA". It matches the Rfam family "Bacterial small subunit ribosomal RNA", at positions 8 to 518 of the family's 1533-position model. The record is from RNAcentral.